UCGGGCGUGGUGUAAUGAACACAACGAGUAUCCCUGGUCCUGAUCGGUGCAAUUACAAAGGUCACUCGAAGUCCGGGGUUCGACUCCCCGCGUCCGAA
This is a non-coding RNA of Mycena capillaripes, 98 nucleotides long. The record is from the annotation of a GenBank genome assembly. NCBI's taxonomy places the organism in Eukaryota, Fungi, Basidiomycota, Agaricomycetes, Agaricales, Mycenaceae.